UCGGCGUCUCUGGCUGGCCGGUGUCUCCCCAGAUCUUCCGCAGCAGCCUGGUAAAGAGCAGAGCCGAAGCCCAUCCCAGACCAGCCGGGACGCCCCUGCCGAGGUCUCCGGGGCAUCAAGCAGGGACAUGCUGCGCCAGCGCUCCCUGCUGCUCACCCUGCUGGGUCUGCUCUCCCUCGGGUCUGCCCUUUCCCAGGAAUGCAUCGGAUACAAGGUCAGCACCUGCCGGGACUGCAUCAAGUCAGGGCCUGGCUGCACCUGGUGUCAGAAGCUG
Molecule: long non-coding RNA, 274 nt
Organism: Equus quagga
Lineage: Eukaryota; Metazoa; Chordata; Mammalia; Perissodactyla; Equidae
Exons: 3
Source: RefSeq, a predicted model, not a curated record